RNAcentral lists this ribosomal RNA (641 nucleotides) under Klebsiella oxytoca. Its description in RNAcentral is "partial 23S ribosomal RNA". It matches the Rfam family "Bacterial large subunit ribosomal RNA", at positions 1 to 676 of the family's 2925-position model. Lineage: Bacteria; Pseudomonadati; Pseudomonadota; Gammaproteobacteria; Enterobacterales; Enterobacteriaceae. The record is from RNAcentral.
GGGUUGUGAGGUUAAGCGACUAAGCGUACACGGUGGAUGCCCUGGCAGUCAGAGGCGAUGAAGGACGUGCUAAUCUGCGAAAAGCGUCGGUAAGGUGAUAUGAACCGUUACAGCCGGCGAUGUCCGAAUGGGGAAACCCAGUGCAAUUCGUUGCACUAUCGUUAACUGAAUACAUAGGUUAACGAGGCGAACCGGGGGAACUGAAACAUCUAAGUACCCCGAGGAAAAGAAAUCAACCGAGAUUCCCCCAGUAGCGGCGAGCGAACGGGGAGCAGCCCGGAGUCUGAAUCAGCUUGUGUGUUAGUGGAAGCGUCUGGAAAGUCGCAGGGUACAGGGUGAUACUCCCGUACACUAAAACACACAGGCUGUGAACUCGAAGAGUAGGGCGGGACACGUGGUAUCCUGUCUGAAUAUGGGGGGACCAUCCUCCAAGGCUAAAUACUCCUGACUGACCGAUAGUGAACCAGUACCGUGAGGGAAAGGCGAAAAGAACCCCGGCGAGGGGAGUGAAAAAGAACCUGAAACCGUGUACGUACAAGCAGUAGGAGCCCACUAGUUGGGUGACUGCGUACCUUUUGUAUAAUGGGUCAGCGACUUAUAUUCUGUAGCAAGGUUAACCGAAUAGGGGAGCCGCAGGGAAA